CUCUCACUCUUGCUCUUGCUCUCUCUGUGUGUCUUUCUCUCUUUCACUCUGUCUUUCUCUCUGUGUCUUUCUCUUUCUGCCUCUCUCUCUGCCUCUCUUUGUGUCUUUCUCUCCCUCCCUCCCAUCUAUCCAUCCACUUCAUUUUCUCUUUGUCUUUUCCAACAUCCCUUUUUCUAUCCAGCCUGGCUCUUGUCCUAAGGAUCAGUUUCUCUCUCCGGCACUGACAUUCUCCCAGAGUCUCUGCCUCCUUCUAGCCUGUCUUAGGAUGUGUGACUGACUGAUGGUGCCUUCCUGCAGUGGAGGCCCAGGUGUGGUGUGGCCCCGUGGCCGGCCGGAUCGCCUGCUGUCUAACGCUCUGCCCAGGUCCUGUUAAUAGAGCUUCUCAAAACAGGUGAAGAUUUCUAGAAAUCCCUUCUGCAAAUUCACCUGUGGAUGCUGAAGGACAGAAGAUCGGUCAACUGGACAGUCAUGCGCAGCAUAGUCUCUAGUCACCUCCGUUUUCACUAAAUUUUGAAUAUGGCACUAGUAGUAGAAGACAAUAAGGAGAUGCACAAAACAUUCUCAACUUCACCUAGAUUUUCAUUGAAUUGUGAAAAAUGAGUUUACUUUUUUAACAAUGUAUUGUGAAGAAAUUGGAACUCUACACUAUAUAUUUGGAUGGGUCCUUG
This 668-nucleotide long non-coding RNA is filed under the name Mus pahari (shrew mouse). RNAcentral describes it as "lncRNA (MGP_PahariEiJ_G0005434.1)". The record is from RNAcentral. Lineage: Eukaryota; Metazoa; Chordata; Mammalia; Rodentia; Muridae.